This 67-nucleotide transfer RNA is filed under the name Leptothorax acervorum. Its description in RNAcentral is "tRNA-Ile". Lineage: Eukaryota; Metazoa; Arthropoda; Insecta; Hymenoptera; Formicidae. The record is from RNAcentral.
AAUGAUAUGCCUGAAAAAGGGYUAUUUUGAUAGAAUAAAUUAUGUAUGAUUAAUCAUACUUUCAUUA